RNAcentral lists this ribosomal RNA (253 nucleotides) under uncultured bacterium. RNAcentral describes it as "partial 16S ribosomal RNA". It matches the Rfam family "Bacterial small subunit ribosomal RNA", at positions 524 to 776 of the family's 1533-position model. The record is from RNAcentral.
UACGGAGUGUGCGAGCGUUACUCGGAAUCACUGGGCAUAAAGAGCACGUAGGCGGGGAUGCAUGUCCGUGGUGAAAUCCCCCAGCUCAACUGGGGAACUGCUUCGGAAACUGUGUCUCUUGAGGACGAGAGGGGAGAGUGGAACUUCUGGUGGAGCGGUGAAAUGCGUAGAUAUCAGAAGGAACACCGGUGGCGAAAGCGACUCUCUGGCUCGUUUCUGACGCUGAGGUGCGAAAGCUUGGGUAGCAAACAGG